GGGGAGUACGGUCGCAAGACCGAAACUCAAAGGAAUUGACGGGGGCCUGCACAAGCGGUGGAGCAUGUGGUUUAAUUUGAUAAAAUGCGCAAAACUUUACCAGCCCUUGACAUAUGAACAACAAAACAUGUCCUUAACAGGAUGGUACUGACUUUCAUACAUGUGCUGCAUGGCUGUCGUCAGCUCAUGUCGUGAGAUGUUUGGUCAAGUCCUAUAACGAGCAAAACCCUCGUUUUGUGUUGCUGAGACAUGCGCCUAAGGAGAAAUUGCCACCGAGUGACAUGCCAGUGCUACUACUUGAUUGAGUGCCAGCACGUAGCUGUGCUUUCAGCAAGAAUUUCACCACUGGGAGCUGGUGCCUUUCGAAGCACUUUCACGUGUGAACCAAAGUCGUCUUGCCCAAGACUCACGGAGACCUACCUAUGGUGACGUCAAAGUACCAGUGAGCAUGGAGGUUUGGUUGAAAUUGGUUACGACGACGUCGAGUUGGCGGCGAAGGAAGACUCGGCAUGAAGGCCAGAAAAUGGUGUGGAACGUAGUGGUAAUAGUACGCGCCCCACUCUGAAACAAAGAAAAGGGUGCGUGCCGCAGUCAUGGGGGACUGCCAGUGAGAUACUGGAGGAAGGUGGGGAUGACGUCAAGUCCGCAUGGCCCUUAUGGGCUGGGCCACACACGUGCUACAAUGGCAAUGACAAUGGGAAGCAAGGCUGUAAGGUGGAGCAAAUCCGGAAAGAUUGCCUCAGUUCGGAUUGUUCUCUGCAACUCGGGAACAUGAAGUUGAAAUCGCUAGUAAUCGCGGAUCAGCAUGCCGCAGUGAAUAUGUACCCGGGCCCUGUACACACCGCCCGUCACACCCUAGGAAUUGGUUUCGCCCGAAGCAUCGGACCAAUGAUCACCCAUGACUUCUGUGUACCACUAGUGCCACAAAGGCCUUUGGUGGUCUUAUUGGCGCAUACCACGGUGGGGUCUUCGACUGGGGUGAAGUCGUAACAAGGUAGGUGUAGGGGAACCUGUGGCUG
Molecule: ribosomal RNA, 1019 nt
Filed under: Triticum aestivum (bread wheat)
Lineage: Eukaryota; Viridiplantae; Streptophyta; Magnoliopsida; Poales; Poaceae
Description: rRNA SSU_rRNA_eukarya
Rfam family: Bacterial small subunit ribosomal RNA
Source: RNAcentral